AAUAAUUAUCAUAUUCAUAAAUAUUUACAAAUUUUGAAUAUAUAUUUGUAUAUGCAUUUAUAAUUUCUUAUCUCUCCUAAGAAUAAACUAGAUUAUAUGUAUGUAUGUAUAUAAAAUUUAUAUUUAGCAUCUUGGAUUAUAAGAGAUAUUAUAUGUCAUAAAUAUGUUAUGACUCUAAUAAAUUACUAGAAAGAUGUUACAAUGAAUAAAUCAUUAGAACCUCUAGUAAUUUUACAAAAUAUAUAAAUUAUUGAGUUACCACAUUCUAACUACAUACAAAGAGGAUUUUCUUAUGAAAGAUUUUAAUCUUUUGAUCCGAUCAAUGAUUUAGAUAUGUGGUAAAAUAAUCAAUUAAAUUGAUUUUUACUAUAUUUAUUAAAUAAAUUAGGAAUCUCAAAUUUAUUUAUAAAUGAUUUAGAAAAAGCAAACGAUACCACAUUGUAGCUAUAUACAAAGAGGAUGUUCUUACGAAAGAUUUUAAUCCUCUAAUCUGAUCAAUGAUUCGUACAUACAGGAAAAUAAUCAAUUAAAUUGAAUUUCGCUAUAUUUAUUAAAUAAAUUAGGAAACUCAAAUUUAUUUAUAAAUGAUAUAGAAAAAGCAAAUAAAAUAUUAGAAAUUAAUAGUUUUAAUAAAGAAAACAUCAAAGAAAUUAAAAAGUUAGGAGAUCAAAUGAGUAAAAAAUUUAAUAAGGUUAAACAAUUAAUAAAAAACUUCACAUUGAAGAUAAUGAUAUAUUAAAGUAAGAAAUUGUUAAUAUAAUAAAUAAAAACUUAAUAAAUAUAAGAUUAAACAAGUUAGAGAUUCAAUUAGAUAAAAUAAAAAUUUGGUACUGAAUUUGCUAUAAAUAUAAAUAAAAAACUUAAACAAAUUGAAGUACUGCAUAGUAGUUUGGGGUUUAAAAUAAAAUUUUAAAACUUAUUAACUUUUUUAUAAUUAUUAACUUUUUUGAGGAUUCAAAAAUUUAUAACUGUAACGUACAGCUGAUGUAGUAACAUAAGCUCUGCCUACAAUCAUUAUAUGAAUUUAAAUUUUCGUUAACUGUUACUUGUGGUAUCAGUAGAUUAUAAUAAUGUAAUAAGAUACGGUAUCAUGUAAAAAGGAAAGGACAAAUGCUAUUAUGUUCUCACAAUCAGAGCUCGCCGAGUAAGCCGUCCUCGCCCACGCGAUCAGCUUUCAGCUCUCUCCAUGUGCUAACUUUGUUCGUGCAGAAACUGAACUGAACUGAUGCUGUGUUUAUUUUUUGGAUUAGAGUGAGAAUCCUGAGGAGUGAGAAUCCUUGGAUUAGGAGUGUGGAGUCGGAGUGGGAGUAUGGUGUUUACUUAGACUAAAUAAAAGUAUGGAUUAUCAAUCAGAAUCCUAAUUAUUUGUUUACUUUGUCUUGGAUUGAGAGUAAAUUGUUUUAAAUUAUAAUUUUAUCCUUAUGUACAGAAU
Molecule: long non-coding RNA, 1432 nt
Filed under: Citrus x clementina
Lineage: Eukaryota; Viridiplantae; Streptophyta; Magnoliopsida; Sapindales; Rutaceae
Description: Citrus clementina (C. clementina) long non-coding RNA (CCLE_LNC003029)
Source: RNAcentral